UUGAACGCUAGCGGGAUGCCUUACACAUGCAAGUCGAACGGACUAACUGUCGGAAGUUUCGGAUGGAAGACAAUAAGUAGUGGCGACGGGUGAGUAACGGCGUGGGGAACCUGCCCCGUACCGGGGGACAACAGCUGGAAACGGCUGCUAAUACCGCAUACGCGCAAUGAGGCGCAUGCCUUGUUGCGGAAAAACUCCGGUGGUAUGGGAUGGCCCCGCGUUGGAUUAGGCAGUUGCGGGGUAACGGCCCCACCAAACCGACGAUCCAUAGCCGGCCUGAGAGGGCGGACGGCCACAUUGGGACUGAGACACGGCCCAAACUCCUGCGGGAGGCAGCAGUGGGGGAUAUUGCACAAUGGGGGAAACCCUGAUGCAGCGACGCCGCGUGGGUGAAGAAGUAAUUCGUUAUGUAAAGCCCUAUCAGCAGGGAAGAAAACGACGGUACCUGCACAAGAACGCCCCGGCUAACUACGUGCCAGCCGCCGC
This 486-nucleotide ribosomal RNA is filed under the name uncultured bacterium. Its description in RNAcentral is "bacterial SSU rRNA". It matches the Rfam family "Bacterial small subunit ribosomal RNA", at positions 29 to 518 of the family's 1533-position model. The record is from RNAcentral.